This 254-nucleotide ribosomal RNA is filed under the name uncultured bacterium. RNAcentral's name for it is "partial 16S ribosomal RNA". It matches the Rfam family "Bacterial small subunit ribosomal RNA", at positions 524 to 776 of the family's 1533-position model. The record is from RNAcentral.
UACGGGGGGGAGCAAGCGUUGUUCGGAUUUACUGGGCGUAAAGGGCGCGUAGGCGGCUUAACAAGUCACUUGUGAAAUCUCCGGGCUUAACUCGGAACGGCCAAGUGAAACUGUCAAGCUAGAGUGCAGAAGGGGCAAUCGGAAUUCUUGGUGUAGCGGUGAAAUGCGUAGAUAUCAAGAGGAACACCUGAGGUGAAGACGGGUUGCUGGGCUGACACUGACGCUGAGGCGCGAAAGCGUGGGGAGCGAACAGG